This 729-nucleotide ribosomal RNA is filed under the name Enterococcus sp. RNAcentral describes it as "bacterial SSU rRNA". It matches the Rfam family "Bacterial small subunit ribosomal RNA", at positions 56 to 757 of the family's 1533-position model. The record is from RNAcentral. Lineage: Bacteria; Bacillati; Bacillota; Bacilli; Lactobacillales; Enterococcaceae.
UGCAAGUCGAACGCUUUUUCUUUCACCGGAGCUUGCUCCACCGAAAGAAAAAGAGUGGCGAACGGGUGAGUAACACGUGGGUAACCUGCCCAUCAGAAGGGGAUAACACUUGGAAACAGGUGCUAAUACCGUAUAACAAGUAAAACCGCAUGGUUUUACUUUGAAAGGCGCUUUUGCGUCACUGAUGGAUGGACCCGCGGUGCAUUAGCUAGUUGGUGAGGUAACGGCUCACCAAGGCAACGAUGCAUAGCCGACCUGAGAGGGUGAUCGGCCACAUUGGGACUGAGACACGGCCCAAACUCCUACGGGAGGCAGCAGUAGGGAAUCUUCGGCAAUGGACGAAAGUCUGACCGAGCAACGCCGCGUGAGUGAAGAAGGUUUUCGGAUCGUAAAACUCUGUUGUUAGAGAAGAACAAGGAUGAGAGUAAAAUGUUCAUCCCUUGACGGUAUCUAACCAGAAAGCCACGGCUAACUACGUGCCAGCAGCCGCGGUAAUACGUAGGUGGCAAGCGUUGUCCGGAUUUAUUGGGCGUAAAGCGAGCGCAGGCGGUUUCUUAAGUCUGAUGUGAAAGCCCCCGGCUCAACCGGGGAGGGUCAUUGGAAACUGGGAAACUUGAGUGCAGAAGAGGAGAGUGGAAUUCCAUGUGUAGCGGUGAAAUGCGUAGAUAUAUGGAGGAACACCAGUGGCGAAGGCGGCUCUCUGGUCUGUAACUGACGCUGAGGCUCGAA